CGUCCCCUGCCGUGCGCGACAGGGCUCAAUAUUUCCGAACCGAUAGCUUCCACAGGUUGCGGACUCCAGCGUCACUGUUGUGAUCGUCCCUCGUCGGACGAACCUGAUGUGACCGGAAAGCGACCACCCUUGUUGGCAGGGUUCGGGAGCCGAGCCCACCGGCAUGCGCGGGGGGCGC
This 178-nucleotide non-coding RNA is filed under the name Betaproteobacteria bacterium RIFCSPHIGHO2_12_FULL_69_13. RNAcentral's name for it is "6S RNA". It matches the Rfam family "6S / SsrS RNA". Rfam says of the family: E. coli 6S RNA was the first non coding RNA to be sequenced, but its function was unknown until recently. It consists of 184 nucleotides that fold into an extended hairpin structure with a large single-stranded internal bulge. The record is from RNAcentral. RNAcentral also lists the same sequence under 1 other name. Lineage: Bacteria; Pseudomonadati; Pseudomonadota; Betaproteobacteria.